UUUCUUCAGGGCAGGGUGUGAUUCCCGACCGGCGGUAUAGUCCGCGAACCCCGCAGGGGUUGAUUCGGUGAUGCAGAUUGCAGAUUCCGAAACCGACAGUAAAGUCUGGAUGGUAGAAGAA
RNAcentral lists this non-coding RNA (121 nucleotides) under chicken gut metagenome. RNAcentral's name for it is "FMN riboswitch (RFN element)". It matches the Rfam family "FMN riboswitch aptamer (RFN element)". From Rfam's summary of the family: The RFN element is a highly conserved domain that is found frequently in the 5'-untranslated regions of prokaryotic mRNAs that encode for flavin mononucleotide (FMN) biosynthesis and transport proteins. This element is a metabolite-dependent riboswitch that directly binds FMN in the absence of proteins. The record is from RNAcentral.